This 465-nucleotide ribosomal RNA is filed under the name uncultured bacterium. RNAcentral's name for it is "bacterial SSU rRNA". It matches the Rfam family "Bacterial small subunit ribosomal RNA", at positions 917 to 1382 of the family's 1533-position model. The record is from RNAcentral.
GGGCCCGCACAAGCGGAGGAACAUGUGGUUUAAUUCGAUGAUACGCGAGGAACCUUACCUGGGCUUGAAAGGGGAAUGACCUCCCGGGAAACCGGGAUUCUCUUCGGAGCAUUCUCCUAGGUGCUGCAUGGUUGUCGUCAGCUCGUGCCGUGAGGUGUCGGGUUAAGUCCCAUAACGAGCGCAACCCCUAUUGUUAGUUGCCAGCGGGUAAUGCCGGGAACUCUAACGAAACUGCCGGUGUAAACCGAGAGGAAGGUGGGGAUGACGUCAAAUCAGCACGGCCCUUAUGUCCAGGGCUACACACGUGUUACAAUGGCCGGUACAAAGGGCAGCUACUUGGUGACAAGAUGCUAAUCUCUAAAACCGGUCUCAGUUCGGAUCGAAGUCUGCAACUCGACUUCGUGAAGCUGGAUUCGCUAGUAAUCGCGCAUCAGCAACGGCGCGGUGAAUACGUUCCCGGGCCUU